Long non-coding RNA from Solenopsis invicta (red fire ant), 3025 nucleotides. RefSeq lists it as uncharacterized. Lineage: Eukaryota; Metazoa; Arthropoda; Insecta; Hymenoptera; Formicidae. The transcript is spliced from 2 exons. The record is from RefSeq and is a predicted model, not a curated record.
GUAGUGUCUUCUAUUAGAUAGCAAUUUUUAUAAUACUGUUUUGUAGUUUGUAAUAAUUAAUAUUUUUGCAACAUAACCCAAAACAGCGGUUAAAAAUUGGACCCUAAAACUAGUGCACUGAUGAUUAAUAUUCUUUUUUAUUGAUUUAUAUACCUUAACUUAAUUAUGUUUUUUGCAAGUUAAUAUGUUCUAUUUUUUCUAGAAGACAAUAAGUUUCUUAGAUAGUUUGUACUUAUGAUUACCUGUUUUUCACUGAUUGUAAGGUACACACAAUGUCAUUAAUUCCAGAAGAUCAUCCAGAGCAGAAUUAACCGUUCAGUUAAAAUCACCAUUUUGAAAUCUAUUAAAUCACUUUUAAAUUUGAGAGCAUGGUCCAAAUAAUUUACCCGAAUGUUUUUGGUUGCGGUUCCAACAUUCACAAAAGUUGUAUAAUAUAAAAUAGCAAGUAACUUAUUUUUGUUUCUCAUUUCGAAAAAUUUCUUUCACGCACAUUCACGCAAUUGACUGAACUCAACAGCAUCUGAUGAUAAACUUACUGAUGAGGUUAUCUUCUGUCCAUCUAUAAAGGUGCGAAUUCAUGCAGCGAUAAAUCGCUGGCGACUUUCCCCUUCUACCUCGGUUUUCCCCUUCUACACAUACUUGUGCCGAAUCCGUUGGAAUCCGUCGACAAAUCGUCAGAAGUUCAACUUGGUUGAACUUCAGCGACAAAUCGACACAAUCGUGAGCAGUAUGGAAUCUUCAAAUACCAGUUUAGGAACGGAUACGUGAAAAAAGCUAUGAUCCUGACGGUCUUUUAAUCGCUAGCGAUUUGUCGCCACAUGAAUAUGUACUAGGAGAAAAGCGACAGAUACUUGACGCUGGCGUUACUUUUCCCCCACUUCUUCCAAGUCGCCAGUGAUUUAUCGCUGCAUGAAUUCGCAGCUUAAGCAAUGCCACAAAAUAAACUUGAGCAUCGCCAUGCGACGAAAUAUUUUCGGUCAUUCAUGAAUAUCAUAAACAAACUUUUGCUAUUAACUAAUAUAUUUGGGUCUUGUUCUUGAUGAAGAUAAAUCUAUUUUUCUACAUAAUACCCUGAAGCUCGAUACUAACGCUGUUUCGUAGGUUUAUGUUUGUGUGUUUUGAUAAUGUUAUUGUUAUAUGAAGUGUUGAGUCUUAAAUAAUUAAAGCAAGAUACCUGUUUCGUUAUUUGUUCAUCAACCGCCAGCUUGCAGUUUGACGGGUCCCUCGGCAUGACCAUUGACUUUGUUUCUUUGUGAUAGAUAUCUUUAUAUCAUAUUUAGUUAAUACUCGAUUACAAUCAAAGAGCAAUCGUUAUAGGUUAUCUUCGUUCUCUGUUAUGAGAACUGUAUUAAUUGUAUCAUUUGUAUUUUCAAUAUUUAUAACUUUUAUCUUGAAAACCUCUAAUAAUAUAUAAUUAUUUGUAAGAGAUGCUGGAGUAUAAUUUUUAUCGACACUUUAUACACACAGUGCAAUUCAGUUUAAAAUGUAUAUGUCUAAAGCGUGUUUUACGUUGAAAAGCAUAACGUACGUGUGCAUCAGUUAAAUAAGAUAUAAGUUAAAAUCCGCUUAUGUUGCAUCAGAAUAAAAAGACAAACUUUUCAAACUUUAUGGAAACGUUGUGAUAAAAAAUAUUUAUCUCGUUAUGUUAACAAAUCUACUUAAGUGAAAGUUAUCGCUGCAUGAUGCAUGAAAGAAAUUAAUGUUUAUCACGCGAAAAACAUGUUAAAACGUCGCGGAAAAAAUAUACAUUAUACAAUCGAACAAUUUUAAUAAUUAUUCUGGUAGUUCUCUAUACUUAUUUGCACAUUUUUCUUCUUCAUAUUAAUUUCAAAUUUAUAUUUUACUAUGAAUAUAGUAAAUGUAGGGUAUUCCAGAAAUAGUUGGCCAAACUUUAAGAGUACAUUCCACUCAUUGUAAGGAUGAAAAAAAGUCAUGUAACUUGGAAAGAAAGCAUUUCUGAAUCCAUGUUUAUAUGACUUUUUUUAUACUUAUAAUGAGUGAAAUAUGCGCUUAAAGUUUCGUCAACUAUUUCUGAAACACUCUAUAUAUAUACUUGUCGAGAAUUACAUUUGAUUGGAAUAAAAGUUCGUAGUGACACAUACAUGAUAAAAUAAAUCAAUGUGCAAAUAUCUAAACAAAUCCCAUAUAGCACACUUUAUCUAAAGGGCAUCCCAAGAGCGUUCUUAGUACGUGCGGACGUUCUUUGAAUGUCUCAUGGAUCUUCCCAGCAAGUCUGUACUGUAUGGGUUAUCUUUGAAUUUUACUUAAAAAACGCUAUUAUCUUUUAUUCGAACUUAAUACAUUUUCUAUUAUAAAUUGUCCCUAGGAAACACAUGCACACUUUUACGUACAUACAACACCUCUCGAAAGGAGGAUAUUCAACGAAAGCCAUUUCUGGCUUAGAACUGAUACCUAAGUUGUUUAUUAGAAACUCUUUAUGGGACCUUUUAAUAGUAGAAAAAAAUAAUUAUUUGUCUACCAAGUCCAGAGGAAGUUACAAAAAAAUUGAAAUUUGUUAUUGAUUGCCGAAGUAGUCAUACUAGUAUUUUUUAAGCUUUAUGCUAUUAAAAUAAAGUUAAUUACGCAUUUAUAUGUGCUCAAAAAGGUGAGUAGUAAAUGUAGAGUGUGUGAAACUUUGGUUCGCAUAAUAUACAGGAUGUGAAAAAUAAUUAAUAGUAUUAAGCAAAAAGGGUACAAUUACAAUGUUCCAUUAUUUUUGUGUUGUGAUAGCCAAAUUCUAUUAAUGUUUUCAUAUUUAGUAUUCAAAAAUACGUUCAAAAUAACUAUUCGUAUUCAUUGAAAAAACGUCGUACCGAGCAAUUAUAUUAAUGAUACGCGCGCAUAACUAAUAUUUAUUCUUCAACUAUAUCUACCCCUAUAACCAUUUCUGCACCUGCAAAGGUUGGUAACAGACUUUGGUCCGCAUAUGGUCCGCAUACAUUGGUAUUUCCGGUACUGUUAGCAGAUUUGUACCAAAUAUACUACUACCUUGUUGGCAGAGUAUAUGACAAAUUGGCGUUGAAAA